UUGCCAUGUGAGACUUUUGGGUUGCUUGGUUGGCUUCAAGGUUCCAGCACCGUCGUGCACGUUACCGCUGGCUGCUUGUCUUGGGCCGCAGCUAGCUAGCAGCAUCCUCCAAGGCGAAGGCGAAGCUCCUCUCCGGCCUCCACUCUCCACGCCUGACCGACCUGACGCUCCAGAAUCCGAAUCCGCCCGUCAGUCUCCAUUGACCUCCUCUGCUUGUCCUGCCGCAGCGUCUGUCCCGUCCUCGUCGCUGGCCCUGCUGCUCCCGCGGCCUAGGCCUGCGAGCGCUUCUCCCAGCCGCGUCCGUUCUUAAAUCUCCAGAUCAUUUAUUAUAAUGUGGGGUGAGAGAACUCAUCACAAGCACUGGCAUCAAGGGCAUGGUCCAUCCGGAAGUUCCAAGGACAAAAAACAUGACAAACGGCAGCCCAAAUUUAUACCUGACAAUUAUAGCUCGGUGGAUGAGGUCACUACUGCACUGAGAGAAGCUGGUCUCGAAUCAUCAAAUCUAAUUCUUGGUAUUGACUUCACCAAAAGCAAUGAAUGGUCAGGUAGGCAUUCCUUUGGAAGAAAAUCUCUACAUGCCAUUAACGGCAACCCAAAUCCAUACGAGCAAGCUAUCUCUAUAAUUGGGCGAACACUGUCACCUUUUGAUGAUGAUAACUUAAUACCAUGUUUUGGAUUUGGCGAUGCUUCUACGCAUGAUCACUCCGUCUUCAGCUUCUACCAGGAUAGUCGUCCCUGUCGUGGCUUCGAGGAGGUUCUUGUAAGGUAUCGACAAAUUGUUCCACAUUUGAAUCUUUCAGGACCAACUUCUUUUGCACCUCUGAUUUAUGCAGCGAUUUCUGUUGUUGAAAAUAGUAAUUGGCAAUACCAUGUCCUCGUAAUCAUAGCUGAUGGACAGGUGACUACUGCUAAUACAAAUGAUGGAAGAUUAAGUCCACAAGAACAGGCAACCAUAAAAGCAAUUGUUGAUGCUAGUCACUAUCCUCUUUCAAUAGUAAUGGUUGGGGUGGGUGAUGGACCGUGGGAUGCAAUGCAGCAUUUUGAUGACUGUAUCCCUGACAGAACUUUUGACAAUUUCCAGUUUGUGAACUUCACUGAUAUUAUGUCAACAAGUAAGGACAUGUCAAAGAAGGAGGCUGCAUUUGCCCUUGCAGCUCUUAUGGAAAUACCUUCUCAGUAUAAAGCAACUCAAGGCAUCCGAUAUGAAGACAAGCACAAAGGAUUGGCUCUCCUAGGAUUCUUCCUCCUCCAAAUAAAGUUAUUGAACAUUAUAAUGCAGCAGCUUCACAUCCUCCUCCAACUGCAAGCUCCCGGUCAACUGGCAUUGGCAAAAAUGCUGCUGAUGAGCAGGUAUGCCCCAUCAGGGGCGAAGCCAGAUGAGAGAGUCGCCGGGGUCGGAUGGCCUAAACGCUGGGGUCGGCCACAUGAUUAAAAGUGCUAAACAGUAAUCUUCCAUUGAUUUGAUCAAAUUUCGUCGGGGUCCGGCGACCCCGACAGCUACACGCAGCUCCGCCCCUAUGCCCCAUCUGUUUAACCAAUCCAAAGGACAUGGCUUUUCAGUGUGGUCACCUGACAUGUAAGGAAUGUGGUCCAACCCUAUCGACAUGCCCAUUGUGCUGUGCUUCGAUUACCAUGCGUGUGAGGCUCUACUCUUAAAACGGUGUGGCCUUCUGAAGGGAAGGGAUCGACAGUUACAUCCAUGGGAUGCCAAUCAGUAAGGAGCAAGAACUCGCAAGCACAAGGCUUUGCACUGCAUUCUCGAAUGCGAAUGUCAUGAAAAAACAUGUAAAAAAACUUCUCCGUGCCUAUUCAGUAAUGAUGGUUGAUGAAUAAUUUCAUCUAUUGCAUGUAAAAAAUGUAUCCAUAUCAUGCAUCAAUAUCAGGGAAUUGUGUUCUUGUGUUCAUACUAGAGAAUAGAUACUUUAGAUGGAUGGUGUGCGCUGUUACGUUCA
Panicum virgatum (switchgrass) is the source of this 1952-nucleotide RNA transcript. It is a transcript of the gene named E3 ubiquitin-protein ligase RGLG3-like, with no coding region annotated. The transcript is spliced from 13 exons. The record is from RefSeq and is a predicted model, not a curated record. NCBI's taxonomy places the organism in Eukaryota, Viridiplantae, Streptophyta, Magnoliopsida, Poales, Poaceae.